AUUUGUUGACAGCAACUGUCUGCAAAAUAAAUCUGAAAUUGUCAUUGACCUAGAGAUUUAAGAGAUUCAUUAAUUAUAACGUUCAGAAAAAUGCUUUUGUCCUUAUAAAUUAAAGUUUGCUAAAGUCGGCUAAGGGUAGAUAAUUCAAAAGAUCUACUAGCUUGGACAUUAAAAGACAUCACAGGUCGUCCAUAUCCAGACUAAGUUACUCAGGAAAGAAAUGUUAUGUCUUUAUGACCAAAUAGUUAUCGUUAUUACACACCAUAAAAUUUAUACCGUACCUGGCGAUAGUUUAAUUUAUUAUGUCACGCCUUUUACAAUGACUACAGACAGUACAGAUGCAGGCAAGGAAAAUACCAUCAAUUAUGCCAAACGAGGCAUACUAUAUACAAAGUAAUUUUUAUAUAUGCUUUUGUUCAUAUUCGAUAACAUUUCAUAUUAUAAUAUACCCGA
RNAcentral lists this long non-coding RNA (453 nucleotides) under Mytilus galloprovincialis (Mediterranean mussel). Lineage: Eukaryota; Metazoa; Mollusca; Bivalvia; Mytilida; Mytilidae. The record is from RNAcentral.